RNAcentral lists this ribosomal RNA (505 nucleotides) under uncultured bacterium. RNAcentral's name for it is "bacterial SSU rRNA". It matches the Rfam family "Bacterial small subunit ribosomal RNA", at positions 28 to 492 of the family's 1533-position model. The record is from RNAcentral.
GACGAACGCUGGCGGCGUGCCUAAUACAUGCAAGUCGAACGCACUCUCGUUUAGAUUGAAGGAGCUUGCUCCUGAUUGAUAAACAUUUGAGUGAGUGGCGGACGGGUGAGUAACACGUGGGUAACCUGCCCUAAAGUGGGGGAUAACAUUUGGAAACAGAUGCUAAAUACCGCAUAAAACCUAAACACCGCAUGGUGUAGGGUUGAAAGAUGGUUUCGGCUAUCACUUUAGGAUGGACCCGCGGUGCAUUAGUUAGUUGGUGAGGUAAAGGCUCACCAAGACCGUGAUGCAUAGCCGACCUGAGAGGGUAAUCGGCCACACUGGGACUGAGACACGGCCCAGACUCCUACGGGAGGCAGCAGUAGGGAAUCUUCCACAAUGGACGAAAGUCUGAUGGAGCAACGCCGCGUGAGUGAAGAAGGUUUCGGAUCGUAAACUCUGUUGUUGGAGAAGAAUGUAUCUGAUAGUAACUGAUCAGGUAGUGACGGUAUCCAACCAGAAAGCC